RNAcentral lists this long non-coding RNA (589 nucleotides) under Sarcophilus harrisii (Tasmanian devil). RNAcentral describes it as "lncRNA (ENSSHAG00000026427.1)". The record is from RNAcentral. Lineage: Eukaryota; Metazoa; Chordata; Mammalia; Dasyuromorphia; Dasyuridae.
CGAAGAAACUCUGGUCACAAGGGUUAAGUUGGCUCUGUCUUAGCCACACUAGCCACACCCUCAGCAUGGCCCUGUGAGAGUGCAUGAAACUAUAUAUGUGUGACUCAGAAUUUAGGAAACUGUCAGAUUCCGAAUGAAACUUUUAUGGACAUUUCUUUCUGGGAAAAUAAAGCUGCCUGAUGGAGCUGACAAGCCACUGGUGGCUUUGGAGAGAAAGCACGCUCAUAAUAGGGAGGAGGAGAAGAAUCUUCCAAUCACCGGCCGCAAUUAGGGCUCCUCCACCACUCACCCCGCUUCCCCAUGAAUGAACAUUGACGUCAAUCGGGCGGAGAAGACCCCCCCAUGUGAUCUACUGGCUCCUCUUUAUAAAGAGGCGGGGCGGGCGCUGUCCAGCGUGCUGAAGCUUGGGGAAGCAAGCUAGCGGGAGAGACGGAGAAUCGACCACGCGAAGAGAGACCAGCUGGAAACUGACCGAGGCGACAGUCGAACGCAGCUCAGGGACCGAAACUCGGAGCAUCUCCUACCUCAAAAUCCCGACCCUUCCCAUUCCUCGAAUCCUAGCUGAGUGGAAAUCAUUCUUUCCCCAGUU